RNAcentral lists this ribosomal RNA (643 nucleotides) under uncultured bacterium. RNAcentral describes it as "bacterial SSU rRNA". It matches the Rfam family "Bacterial small subunit ribosomal RNA", at positions 232 to 885 of the family's 1533-position model. The record is from RNAcentral.
CGCGGCCUAUCAGCUUGUUGGUGGGGUAAUGGCCUACCAAGGCGACGACGGGUAGCCGGCCUGAGAGGGUGAUCGGCCACACUGGGACUGAGACACGGCCCAGACUCCUACGGGAGGCAGCAGUGGGGAAUAUUGCACAAUGGGCGGAAGCCUGAUGCAGCGACGCCGCGUGGGGGAUGACGGUCUUCGGAUUGUAAACCCCUUUCAGUAGGGACGAAGCGAGAGUGACGGUACCUGCAGAAGAAGCACCGGCCAACUACGUGCCAGCAGCCGCGGUAAUACGUAGGGUGCGAGCGUUGUCCGGAAUUACUGGGCGUAAAGAGCUCGUAGGCGGUUUGUCACGUCGUCUGUGAAAUCCUCCAGCUCAACUGGGGGCGUGCAGGCGAUACGGGCUGACUUGAGUACUACAGGGGAGACUGGAAUUCCUGGUGUAGCGGUGAAAUGCGCAGAUAUCAGGAGGAACACCUGCGGCGAAGGCGGCACUCUGGGCCGGAACUGACGCUGAGGAGCGAAAGCAUGGGGAGCAAACAGGAUUAGAUACCCUGGUAGUCCAUGCCGUAAACGUUGGGCACUAGGUAUGGGGUCUUAUCAACGGAUUCCGUGCCGUAGCUAACGCAUUAAGUGCCCCGCCUGGGGAGUACGG